Molecule: long non-coding RNA, 228 nt
Organism: Sinocyclocheilus rhinocerous
Lineage: Eukaryota; Metazoa; Chordata; Actinopteri; Cypriniformes; Cyprinidae
Exons: 3
Source: RefSeq, a predicted model, not a curated record
GUCUGUAUUACUUUGAAUAUACAACAGACAAAGAGCCUCGGGGGAUCAUUCCACUGGAGAAUCUUAGUAUAAGAGAGGUGGAAGAACCAAGAAAACCAAAUUGCUUUGAGCUUUACAACCCCAGUCAUAAGGGGCAGGUAAUUAAGGCAUGCAAGACAGAGGCUGAUGGGAAGGUGGUGGAGGGGAAUCACGUGGUGUACAGAAUAUCCGCACCCACGCCGGAGGAGA